GCCGGGUGCGGUGGCCCACACCUGUCAUCCCAGCAGCUUGGGAGGCUGAGGCAGGAGGAUCGCAAGGUGGAGGCCAGCCUCGGCCACUUAGCAAGGCCCUGAGCAACUCAGGAAGACCCUGUCUCUA
Molecule: small RNA, 127 nt
Filed under: Marmota monax (woodchuck)
Lineage: Eukaryota; Metazoa; Chordata; Mammalia; Rodentia; Sciuridae
Source: RNAcentral